RNAcentral lists this ribosomal RNA (704 nucleotides) under Flavobacterium sp. SAR17. RNAcentral's name for it is "bacterial SSU rRNA". It matches the Rfam family "Bacterial small subunit ribosomal RNA", at positions 634 to 1448 of the family's 1533-position model. Lineage: Bacteria; Pseudomonadati; Bacteroidota; Flavobacteriia; Flavobacteriales; Flavobacteriaceae. The record is from RNAcentral.
AGAUAGACUUGAAUUAUUAGGAAGUAACUAGAAUAUGCUAAUGGAUUGACGCUGAUGGACGAAAGCGUGGGUAGCGAACAGGAUUACCUGGUAGUCCACGCCGUAAACGAUGGAUACUAGCUGUUGGAAGCAAUUUCAGUGGCUAAGCGUCCCACCUGGGGAGUACGUUCGCAAGAAUGAAACUCAAAGGAAUUACGGGGGCCCGCACAAGCGGAGCAUGUGGUUUAAUUCGAUGAUACGCGAGGAACCUUACCAAGGCUUAAAUGUAGAUUGACCGGUUUGGAAACAGAUCUUUCGCAAGACAAUUUACAAGGCUGCAUGGUUGUCGUCAGCUCGUGCCGUGAGGUGUCAGGUUAAGUCCUAUAACGAGCGCAACCCCUGUUGUUAGUUGCCAGCGAGUCAUGUCGGGAACUCUAUGCCGCAAACUGUGAGGAAGGUGGGGAUGACGUCAAAUCAUCACGGCCCUUACGCCUUGGGCUACACACGUGCUAAUGGCCGGUACAGAGAGCAGCCACUGGGCGACCAGGAGCGAAUCUAUAAAACCGGUCACAGUUCGGAUCGGAGGCAACUCGACUCCGUGAAGCUGGAAUCGCUAGUAAUCGGAUAUCAGCCAUGAUCCGGUGAAUACGUUCCCGGGUACACACCGCCCGUCAAGCCAUGGAAGCUGGGGGUGCCUGAAGUCGGUGACCGCAAAGUGAUAAGUA